CACACUGCCCACCACUGUAUCUACCAUCCGACCGGCUGCUGCCCUGGCUCCCACUACCACCAUGAGGCCUGGGGUUCAGGCUACUCCGACACGGAUGCCGGUGGUGAUUACACAGAUGGUUCGUACUCAAGGUGCUGUUGGGACACCCUUGCAAGUGAGGAGCCCCAUGGGUGUGGCUGUUCAAGCGUCAGCCAAUCAGAAACAGAAGCUGAAUGACCCUGGGGGUGGGACU
This is a long non-coding RNA of Sinocyclocheilus anshuiensis, 232 nucleotides long. RefSeq lists it as uncharacterized. NCBI's taxonomy places the organism in Eukaryota, Metazoa, Chordata, Actinopteri, Cypriniformes, Cyprinidae. The transcript is spliced from 3 exons. The record is from RefSeq and is a predicted model, not a curated record.